Amphiprion ocellaris (clown anemonefish) is the source of this 416-nucleotide long non-coding RNA. Lineage: Eukaryota; Metazoa; Chordata; Actinopteri; Pomacentridae. The record is from Ensembl.
CGUGGGUCAACCAGGAGGUGUUGGAAGAGGUUUAAUGGAAGCUAUUUACUGGCACCGCACCGGCGAGCAACAGGAGGGAGACUCAGCCGCUGCAUUGUUGGAGACGUUCGAGAACGAAUCCCUUUCCACAUGCGAAGCCUACUCCACCUCCGUCGCGGAGCCCCCGGCUGCCCUGUCUCCUCUCCACCACCAGCAGCAGCUCCUCUCCAGCACCAGCUUCGACACCGACCCUGUCAACAGCACCGUCUUAUCACCGGUAAGACACGGCAAGAGGAAAGGGGGCCACAGAAAACUGGACCUUCCUAGCGUACUUGUGGAGAUGCAGGCUGAGGAGGAGUGGAGUCAUGCCCAGCAUGAUGAGAACAUCUGGUUGCUCCUCAGCGAGGCAAGAGAGAAUGAAGCGGCCUUGCAGCGGG